UCCACAAUAGCUCAAUCAGGUGAGCAGCUUUACACCAAAAAGCAGGUCUAGGUUCGAAUCCUAGUUGUGGAC
This is a non-coding RNA of Nowakowskiella sp. JEL0078, 72 nucleotides long. NCBI's taxonomy places the organism in Eukaryota, Fungi, Chytridiomycota, Chytridiomycetes, Cladochytriales, Nowakowskiellaceae. The record is from the annotation of a GenBank genome assembly.